GCUAAUACCGCAUAACGUCUACGGACCAAAGAGGGGGACCUUCGGGCCUCUCGCUUCAGGAUAUGCCCAGGUGGGAUUAGCUAGUUGGUGAGGUAAUGGCUCACCAAGGCGACGAUCCCUAGCUGGUCUGAGAGGAUGAUCAGCCACACUGGAACUGAGACACGGUCCAGACUCCUACGGGAGGCAGCAGUGGGGAAUAUUGCACAAUGGGCGCAAGCCUGAUGCAGCCAUGCCGCGUGUAUGAAGAAGGCCUUCGGGUUGUAAAGUACUUUCAGUCGUGAGGAAGGCGUUGAAGUUAAUAGCUUCAUCGUUUGACGUUAGCGACAGAAGAAGCACCGGCUAACUCCGUGCCAGCAGCCGCGGUAAUACGGAGGGUGCGAGCGUUAAUCGGAAUUACUGGGCGUAAAGCGCAUGCAGGUGGUUUGUUAAGUCAGAUGUGAAAGCCCGGGGCUCAACCUCGGAACCGCAUUUGAAACUGGCAGGCUAGAGUACUGUAGAGGGGGGUAGAAUUUCAGGUGUAGCGGUGAAAUGCGUAGAGAUCUGAAGGAAUACCAGUGGCGAAGGCGGCCCCCUGGA
This 576-nucleotide ribosomal RNA is filed under the name uncultured Vibrio sp. RNAcentral's name for it is "bacterial SSU rRNA". It matches the Rfam family "Bacterial small subunit ribosomal RNA", at positions 162 to 733 of the family's 1533-position model. Lineage: Bacteria; Pseudomonadati; Pseudomonadota; Gammaproteobacteria; Vibrionales; Vibrionaceae. The record is from RNAcentral.